RNAcentral lists this ribosomal RNA (484 nucleotides) under uncultured bacterium. RNAcentral's name for it is "partial 16S ribosomal RNA". It matches the Rfam family "Bacterial small subunit ribosomal RNA", at positions 30 to 507 of the family's 1533-position model. The record is from RNAcentral.
AUUGAACGCUGGCGGCAUGCUUUACACAUGCAAGUCGAACGGCAGCACGGGCUUCGGCCUGGUGGCGAGUGGCGAACGGGUGAGUAAUAUAUCGGAACGUACCCAGAAGUGGGGGAUAACGUAGCGAAAGUUACGCUAAUACCGCAUACGAUCUAUGGAUGAAAGCAGGGGACCGCCAGGCCUUGUGCUCCUGGAGCGGCCGACAUCUGAUUAACCAGUUGGUGAGGCAAAGGCUCACCAAGCCGACGAUCAGUAGCUGGUCUGAGAUGACGAACAGCCACACUGGAACUGAGACACGGUCCAGACUCCUACGGGAGGCAGCAGUGGGGAAUUUUGGACAAUGGGCGCAAGCCUGAUCCAGCAAUGCCGCGUGAGUGAAGAAGGCCUUCGGGUUGUAAAGCUCUUUUGUCAGGGAAGAAACGGUAGAGGCUAAUAUCCUUUGCUAAUGACGGUACCUGAAGAAUAAGCACCGGCUAACUACGUG